CCUUUACCUGCUGAGGAAGGGAGUCCUGGUUAAGAGGUGGGAAAGGCCUUGGGGUUACCCACUCAGAAGUACAGCUCAACUGGAGAGAAGAGGAAAGUCCUGAUUGGUUGGUGCUGACUUUAGAGGAUUGCGGGGGGACUGUGAAAGUUCAGUGGAGACAGGCAGGUGCAACAGGCAUGUGAGAGCAGUGAGACCACCCUUGCUGAGCCUGCCCAGCGGCUCCUACUGCUGCAGCUGUGCUUGGGAGUGAAGUGUCGAGCUGCCUGUUUCAGGAGCCCUGUAUCUCUCAUCACCAUUUCCUGCAAAGCAGUCUUUCACGAAUGACUGCGGGACAUACUCACAACCCCUUCUUCAAGCUCACAAGUAAUGAGAUCCCCCAAGAACGGUUGCUGGCAGCCCACUACCGCUGUUGCUGGGGGCUGAGGGUUGAGUGGGUCUGA
Molecule: long non-coding RNA, 440 nt
Filed under: Bos indicus x Bos taurus (hybrid cattle)
Lineage: Eukaryota; Metazoa; Chordata; Mammalia; Artiodactyla; Bovidae
Description: lncRNA (ENSBIXG00005008116.1)
Source: RNAcentral